UCCCAUUUCACAGAUGCCUGGAACAAUCAA
RNAcentral lists this non-coding RNA (30 nucleotides) under Homo sapiens (human). The record is from RNAcentral. Lineage: Eukaryota; Metazoa; Chordata; Mammalia; Primates; Hominidae.